RNAcentral lists this ribosomal RNA (496 nucleotides) under uncultured bacterium. Its description in RNAcentral is "partial 16S ribosomal RNA". It matches the Rfam family "Bacterial small subunit ribosomal RNA", at positions 28 to 506 of the family's 1533-position model. The record is from RNAcentral.
GAUGAACGCUGGCGGCGUGCCUAAUACAUGCAAGUCGAGCGAACAGACGAGGAGCUUGCUCCUCUGACGUUAGCGGCGGACGGGUGAGUAACACGUGGAUAACCUACCUAUAAGACUGGGAUAACUUCGGGAAACCGGAGCUAAUACCGGAUAAUAUAUUGAACCGCAUGGUUCAAUAGUGAAAGACGGUUUUGCUGUCACUUAUAGAUGGAUCCGCGCCGCAUUAGCUAGUUGGUAAGGUAACGGCUUACCAAGGCAACGAUGCGUAGCCGACCUGAGAGGGUGAUCGGCCACACAGGAACUGAGACACGGCCCAACCCCCCAGGGGAGGCAGCAGUAGGGAAUUUUCCGAAAUGGGCGAAAGCCUGACGGAGCAACGCCGGGUGAGUGAUGAAGGUUUUCGGAUCGUAAAACUCUUUUAUUAGGGAAGAAAAAAUGUGUAAGUAAAUAUGCACGUUUUGACGGUACCUAAACAGAAAGCCACGGCUAACUACGU